RNAcentral lists this ribosomal RNA (173 nucleotides) under uncultured bacterium. Its description in RNAcentral is "partial 16S ribosomal RNA". It matches the Rfam family "Bacterial small subunit ribosomal RNA", at positions 338 to 523 of the family's 1533-position model. The record is from RNAcentral.
CCUACGGGAGGCAGCAGUGGGGAAUAUUGCACAAUGGGCGCAAGCCUGAUGCAGCAACGCCGCGUGAGGGAUGACGGCCUUCGGGUUGUAAACCUCUUUCAGCAGGGACGAAGCGAGAGUGACGGUACCUGCAGAAGAAGCACCGGCUAACUACGUGCCAGCAGCCGCGGUAA